GAUGAAGAACGCAGCGAAAUGCGAUAAGUAAUGUGAAUUGCAGAAUUCAGUGAAUCAUCGAAUCUUUGAACGCACAUUGCGCCCGCCAGUAUUCUGGCGGGCAUGCCUGUUCGAGCGUCAUUUCAACCAUCAAGCCCCCGGCUUGUGUUGGGGACCUGCGCCUGCCGCAGGCCCUGAAAAGCAGUGGCGGGCUCGCUGUCACACCGAGCGUAGUAGAUUUCAUCUCGCUCAGGGCGUGCUGCGGGUUCCGGCCGUUAAACCACCUUCAUAACCCAAGGUUGACCUCGGAUCAGGUAGGAAGACCCGCUGAACUUAAGCAUAUCAAUAAGCGGAGGA
RNAcentral lists this unclassified non-coding RNA (336 nucleotides) under soil metagenome. RNAcentral's name for it is "partial contains 5.8S ribosomal RNA, internal transcribed spacer 2, and large subunit ribosomal RNA". The stretch from base 1 to 120 matches the Rfam family "5.8S ribosomal RNA", at positions 35 to 154 of the family's 154-position model. The record is from RNAcentral.